RNAcentral lists this long non-coding RNA (216 nucleotides) under Elaeis guineensis (African oil palm). RNAcentral describes it as "long non-coding RNA (EGUI_LNC006842)". The record is from RNAcentral. Lineage: Eukaryota; Viridiplantae; Streptophyta; Magnoliopsida; Arecales; Arecaceae.
GUGUCCAAAAUACAUAACAAGAUUUCCAAAAUCUAUGUUCAACCAAAAAAAUCUUCCAAAACCUUCAACUAUCUCAACUUGUAGCUCAUCCAUAAUAAUCUUCAAUUGGACUUAUUACAGGUCUUCUUCCUGGGAGAGGUCCUUAUUCCUACUUCUUUCAAUUUCCAAUCGGUUGCAUGUAGCCAGCUAGCUCAUUUAUCCUCUUGACAUUUUGUA